CAAAGGAAUUGACGGACCCGCACAAGCGGUGGAUUAUGUUGUUUAAUUCGACGCAACGCAAGACCUUACCAGGCCUUGACAUACUCGGCAAAGCUCUAGAGAUAGAGUGGAGGUUAUCCGGGAUACAGGUGGUGGCAUGGUUGUCGUCAGCUCGUGUCGUGAGAUGUUGGGUUAAGUCCCGCAACGAGCGCAACCCCUACGUUUAGUUGCUAACAGGUGAAGCUGAGCACUCUAGACGAACUGCCGUUGACAAAACGGAGGAAGGUGGGAUGACGUCAAAUCAUCAUGCCCCUUAUGUUCUGGGCUACACACGUGCUACAAUGGCCGGUACAGACGGAGGCGAAGCCGCGAGGCGGAGCAAAUCCGAAAAAGCCGGUCUCAGUUCGGAUUGCAGGCUGCAAUUCGCCUGCAUGAAGUCGGAAUCGCUAGUAAUCGCAGGUCAGCAUACUGCGGUGAAUACGUUCCCGGGCCUU
Molecule: ribosomal RNA, 473 nt
Filed under: uncultured Pelotomaculum sp.
Lineage: Bacteria; Bacillati; Bacillota; Clostridia; Eubacteriales; Desulfotomaculaceae
Description: bacterial SSU rRNA
Rfam family: Bacterial small subunit ribosomal RNA
Source: RNAcentral